RNAcentral lists this RNase P RNA (290 nucleotides) under Methanobacterium lacus. RNAcentral describes it as "RNA component of RNaseP". It matches the Rfam family "Archaeal RNase P". Rfam says of the family: Ribonuclease P (RNase P) is a ubiquitous endoribonuclease, found in archaea, bacteria and eukarya as well as chloroplasts and mitochondria. Lineage: Archaea; Methanobacteriati; Methanobacteriota; Methanobacteria; Methanobacteriales; Methanobacteriaceae. The record is from RNAcentral.
GCAAGUCGAAGAGCAGCUAACGGUUUUUUGUAAACUGAGGAAACUCCAUCCAUCCUACAGAACUGUGGUGCCAUAAGGCACGCGCUGAGAAGCGUGACAAUGGAGCAGAAACGACACGUCUUUUGAUGAAUGACAAUGAAGCAAUGCUGAAGACAUCAAAAGGAUCGGUGAAACGGCCAUUCCACGGGAUGCAAGAGUAAAUACUACUGAUGAGUCCUGUACGAGGUAGAGGUAAUUCGCAUAGAUGAAUGCUGCUAAAACAGAAGGUGGGUUACUCUCGACAUGCCAUU